CGGGAGGCAGCAGUGGGGAAUAUUGCACAAUGGGCGCAAGCCUGAUGCAGCCAUGCCGCGUGUAUGAAGAAGGCCUUAGGGUUGUAAAGUACUUUCAGCGGGGAGGAAGGUGUUGUGGUUAAUAACCACAGCAAUUGACGUUACCCGCAGAAGAAGCACCGGCUAACUCCGUGCCAGCAGCCGCGGUAAUACGGAGGGUGCAAGC
RNAcentral lists this ribosomal RNA (205 nucleotides) under Salmonella enterica subsp. enterica serovar Typhimurium. Its description in RNAcentral is "partial 16S ribosomal RNA". It matches the Rfam family "Bacterial small subunit ribosomal RNA", at positions 342 to 539 of the family's 1533-position model. Lineage: Bacteria; Pseudomonadati; Pseudomonadota; Gammaproteobacteria; Enterobacterales; Enterobacteriaceae. The record is from RNAcentral.